Molecule: small nucleolar RNA, 58 nt
Filed under: Aeropyrum pernix K1
Lineage: Archaea; Thermoproteati; Thermoproteota; Thermoprotei; Acidilobales; Acidilobaceae
Description: APEsR3
Source: RNAcentral
AUGAGGACGGUGGAGCGACGCUGACCAAGGUAGGGGAUGAGGAGCGACACUCCCCUGA